RNAcentral lists this ribosomal RNA (2891 nucleotides) under Escherichia coli. RNAcentral's name for it is "bacterial LSU rRNA". It matches the Rfam family "Bacterial large subunit ribosomal RNA". The record is from RNAcentral. Lineage: Bacteria; Pseudomonadati; Pseudomonadota; Gammaproteobacteria; Enterobacterales; Enterobacteriaceae.
UUAAGCGACUAAGCGUACACGGUGGAUGCCCUGGCAGUCAGAGGCGAUGAAGGACGUGCUAAUCUGCGAUAAGCGUCGGUAAGGUGAUAUGAACCGUUAUAACCGGCGAUUUCCGAAUGGGGAAACCCAGUGUGUUUCGACACACUAUCAUUAACUGAAUCCAUAGGUUAAUGAGGCGAACCGGGGGAACUGAAACAUCUAAGUACCCCGAGGAAAAGAAAUCAACCGAGAUUCCCCAGUAGCGGCGAGCGAACGGGAGCAGCCCAGAGCCUGAAUCAGUGUGUGUUAGUGGAAGCGUCUGGAAAGGCGCGCGAUACAGGGUGACAGCCCCGUACACAAAAAUGCACAUGCUGUGAGCUCGAUGAGUAGGGCGGGACACGUGGUAUCCUGUCUGAAUAUGGGGACCAUCCUCCAAGGCUAAAUACUCUGACUGACCGAUAGUGAACCAGUACCGUGAGGGAAAGGCGAAAAGAACCCCGGCGAGGGAGUGAAAAGAACCUGAAACCGUGUACGUACAAGCAGUGGGAGCACGCUUAGGCGUGUGACUGCGUACCUUUUGUAUAAUGGGUCAGCGACUUAUAUUCUGUAGCAAGGUUAACCGAAUAGGGGAGCCGAAGGGAAACCGAGUCUUAACUGGGCGUUAAGUUGCAGGGUAUAGACCCGAAACCCGGUGAUCAGCCAUGGGCAGGUUGAAGGUUGGGUAACACUAACUGGAGGACCGAACCGACUAAUGUUGAAAAAUUAGCGGAUGACUUGUGGCUGGGGGUGAAAGGCCAAUCAAACCGGGAGAUAGCUGGUUCUCCCCGAAAGCUAUUUAGGUAGCGCCUCGUGAAUUCAUCUCCGGGGGUAGAGCACUGUUUCGGCAAGGGGGUCAUCCCGACUUACCAACCCGAUGCAAACUGCGAAUACCGGAGAAUGUUAUCACGGGAGACACACGGCGGGUGCUAACGUCCGUCGUGAAGAGGGAAACAACCCAGACCGCCAGCUAAGGUCCCAAAGUCAUGGUUAAGUGGGAAACGAUGUGGGAAGGCCCAGACAGCCAGGAUGUUGGCUUAGAAGCAGCCAUCAUUUAAAGAAAGCGUAAUAGCUCACUGGUCGAGUCGGCCUGCGCGGAAGAUGUAACGGGGCUAAACCAUGCACCGAAGCUGCGGCAGCGACGCUGAUGCGUUGUUGGGUAGGGGAGCGUUCUGUAAGCCUGCGAAGGUGUGCUGUGAGGCAUGCUGGAGGUAUCAGAAGUGCGAAUGCUGACAUAAGUAACGAUAAAGCGGGUGAAAAGCCCGCUCGCCGGAAGACCAAGGGUUCCUGUCCAACGUUAAUCGGGGCAGGGUGAGUCGACCCCUAAGGCGAGGCCGAAAGGCGUAGUCGAUGGGAAACAGGUUAAUAUUCCUGUACUUGGUGUUACUGCGAAGGGGGGACGGAGAAGGCUAUGUUGGCCGGGCGACGGUUGUCCCGGUUUAAGCGUGUAGGCUGGUUUUCCAGGCAAAUCCGGAAAAUCAAGGCUGAGGCGUGAUGACGAGGCACUACGGUGCUGAAGCAACAAAUGCCCUGCUUCCAGGAAAAGCCUCUAAGCAUCAGGUAACAUCAAAUCGUACCCCAAACCGACACAGGUGGUCAGGUAGAGAAUACCAAGGCGCUUGAGAGAACUCGGGUGAAGGAACUAGGCAAAAUGGUGCCGUAACUUCGGGAGAAGGCACGCUGAUAUGUAGGUGAGGUCCCUCGCGGAUGGAGCUGAAAUCAGUCGAAGAUACCAGCUGGCUGCAACUGUUUAUUAAAAACACAGCACUGUGCAAACACGAAAGUGGACGUAUACGGUGUGACGCCUGCCCGGUGCCGGAAGGUUAAUUGAUGGGGUUAGCGCAAGCGAAGCUCUUGAUCGAAGCCCCGGUAAACGGCGGCCGUAACUAUAACGGUCCUAAGGUAGCGAAAUUCCUUGUCGGGUAAGUUCCGACCUGCACGAAUGGCGUAAUGAUGGCCAGGCUGUCUCCACCCGAGACUCAGUGAAAUUGAACUCGCUGUGAAGAUGCAGUGUACCCGCGGCAAGACGGAAAGACCCCGUGAACCUUUACUAUAGCUUGACACUGAACAUUGAGCCUUGAUGUGUAGGAUAGGUGGGAGGCUUAGAAGUGUGGACGCCAGUCUGCAUGGAGCCGACCUUGAAAUACCACCCUUUAAUGUUUGAUGUUCUAACGUUGACCCGUAAUCCGGGUUGCGGACAGUGUCUGGUGGGUAGUUUGACUGGGGCGGUCUCCUCCUAAAGAGUAACGGAGGAGCACGAAGGUUGGCUAAUCCUGGUCGGACAUCAGGAGGUUAGUGCAAUGGCAUAAGCCAGCUUGACUGCGAGCGUGACGGCGCGAGCAGGUGCGAAAGCAGGUCAUAGUGAUCCGGUGGUUCUGAAUGGAAGGGCCAUCGCUCAACGGAUAAAAGGUACUCCGGGGAUAACAGGCUGAUACCGCCCAAGAGUUCAUAUCGACGGCGGUGUUUGGCACCUCGAUGUCGGCUCAUCACAUCCUGGGGCUGAAGUAGGUCCCAAGGGUAUGGCUGUUCGCCAUUUAAAGUGGUACGCGAGCUGGGUUUAGAACGUCGUGAGACAGUUCGGUCCCUAUCUGCCGUGGGCGCUGGAGAACUGAGGGGGGCUGCUCCUAGUACGAGAGGACCGGAGUGGACGCAUCACUGGUGUUCGGGUUGUCAUGCCAAUGGCACUGCCCGGUAGCUAAAUGCGGAAGAGAUAAGUGCUGAAAGCAUCUAAGCACGAAACUUGCCCCGAGAUGAGUUCUCCCUGACCCUUUAAGGGUCCUGAAGGAACGUUGAAGACGACGACGUUGAUAGGCCGGGUGUGUAAGCGCAGCGAUGCGUUGAGCUAACCGGUACUAAUGAACCGUGAGGCUUAACCU